UCUUUGCAGCCUUGUGAAGCCGCCCCUGGUGAAUCCUGUUGCUUGUGGGCUCAACAAGGCUGCAGAAAGCAACUCAAAGAAUGAAAAGGCGUGACUUCUGGAGGCUCAGGAGAUUCACGUGCGAUGUUCCUUGGACAGACUCCUGCCUUCCACGGCGGUGAUGGUCUCGUUCAGUAGCUUUCACCUUUCUUCAGGCAGGUAGAUUAAACCUGGCAGCCAGAUAUUGUUUGAAACAGGAGAAGCUCUUCCUGUCAGACACUGUCAGCUGUCACAGUC
Molecule: non-coding RNA, 276 nt
Organism: Amphiprion ocellaris (clown anemonefish)
Lineage: Eukaryota; Metazoa; Chordata; Actinopteri; Pomacentridae
Source: Ensembl